Molecule: transfer RNA, 83 nt
Filed under: Schistocephalus solidus
Lineage: Eukaryota; Metazoa; Platyhelminthes; Cestoda; Diphyllobothriidea; Diphyllobothriidae
Rfam family: tRNA
About the family: Transfer RNA (tRNA) molecules are approximately 80 nucleotides in length. Their secondary structure includes four short double-helical elements and three loops (D, anti-codon, and T loops).
Source: Rfam by way of RNAcentral
GGCCUCGUAGCUCAGGUGGCUAGGGCUUUGGUUGUACUAACGCCUUUCUCUUGCUGCUGUGGGUUCGAAUCCCACCGGGGUCG